UUAUUAUUUCGCAGUUUCCUCCUUUGUUUUUAGAUGUUAUAAUUGGAGAUUUGUCGUUAUAAUUGAAUCCUCGUUUAUUAAAGUUUAGUGAACUUGACAUUAACACUAUGUUUGAGAGGAGGCUUUUGGAGGUAAGAUGAGGGUUUUAAAAUUAGUAAGGGAUUGUCUGAGAGUGCUUAGUGGGAAAAGAUGUGAUGAGCUGCAAACUCUAGAUGUCUUUGAAUGGAUUGGGAAUGGGACAUAACUUUUCACAUUUCUUGAACUUAUAGGUUCUAGAAAAGGUAGAGGUUUAACUUGCAAGAUUUUGAAACGAUAAGGAAUCAGUUUUACUCCUAUAUCCUUGAUGGUAUGGUGCUAUAUAAACCCACUUGCUUAGUUUAAUUGUUUGAUCCCAAUUGUUAUGGACUUAGGAGAAUCACACCCUAAAAGUUAGCCGUUGAGGUAGCCCAAGUCCAUUUAGGAGAAUCACACCCUAAAAGCUAGCCAUUGAGGUAGCCCAAGUCCAUUUAAACCCACAAUGAAAUGUCAUAUUUUUAAUGUGGGAUUUCAAGUCUCCUACCUUGCCCAAUUAACCCACAUUGAAAUAUCAUACUUUUAAUGUGGGACUCCUAAUUCCAUGCCUUGCCCUGCUAGGAUCAUAAAAUCCCCCUGCGAUUACACACCCAACUUCCUUGGCUGCUCUUACUCCUACUGACACUGUUCUUGCUCGGGAAUCUUUGGCGGCGCUUACUCCUACCAACACUAGCCUAGCUUGGGUUAUUUUCUCCAUGAAGCUACACACCCAAUGUCCUCGAUGGCUUUUACUCCAGCCGACAUUGGCCCGGCUCAGUAAUCAUUGGUGGCUCUAACUCUUACUGACACUGGCCUGGCUCGGGAAUUUUAAUCUAGCUUGCAAGGUACCGCUUUCCAAGUCUUGAACUGUGCAUGUGCACGGGUUAGCUCCGAUGCCAAUUGAAUUGUCAUGGAUUUAGGAGAACCACACUCCAAAAGCUGGGUAUUGAGGUGG
RNAcentral lists this unclassified non-coding RNA (1006 nucleotides) under Hevea brasiliensis (rubber tree). Lineage: Eukaryota; Viridiplantae; Streptophyta; Magnoliopsida; Malpighiales; Euphorbiaceae. The record is from RNAcentral.